CCUACGGGUGGCUGCAGUGGGGAAUAUUGCGCAAUGGGCGAAAGCCUGACGCAGCAACGCCGUGUGAGGGAUGAAGGCUUUCGGGUCGUAAACCUCUGUCGGAAGGGAAGAACGGGCAUUGGUCUAAUAGGCCUUUGUUUUGACGGUACCUUUAGAGGAAGCACCGGCUAACUCCGUGCCAGCAGCCGCGGUAAUACGGAGGGUGCAAGCGUUAUUCGGAAUUACUGGGCGUAAAGCGCACGUAGGCCGCUUUGUAAGUCAGGGGUGAAAUCCCACGGCUCAACCGUGGAACUGCCUUUGAAACUGCAGAGCUUGAAUCCUGGAGAGGGUGGCGGAAUUCCUGGUGUAGGAGUGAAAUCCGUAGAUAUCAGGAGGAACACCGGUGGCGAAGGCGGCCACCUGGACAGGCAUUGACGCUGAGGUGCGAAAGUGUGGGGAGCAAACAGGAUUAGAUACCCUAGUAGUC
Molecule: ribosomal RNA, 466 nt
Filed under: uncultured bacterium
Lineage: Bacteria
Description: bacterial SSU rRNA
Rfam family: Bacterial small subunit ribosomal RNA
Source: RNAcentral